UAACACGUGGGUAACCUGCCCAUCAGAAGGGGAUAACACUUGGAAACAGGUGCUAAUACCGUAUAACAAUCAAAACCGCAUGGUUUUGAUUUGAAAGGCGCUUUCGGGUGUCGCUGAUGGAUGGACCCGCGGUGCAUUAGCUAGUUGGUGAGGUAACGGCUCACCAAGGCCACGAUGCAUAGCCGACCUGAGAGGGUGAUCGGCCACAUUGGGACUGAGACACGGCCCAAACUCCUACGGGAGGCAGCAGUAGGGAAUCUUCGGCAAUGGACGAAAGUCUGACCGAGCAACGCCGCGUGAGUGAAGAAGGUUUUCGGAUCGUAAAACUCUGUUGUUAGAGAAGAACAAGGAUGAGAGUAACUGUUCAUCCCUUGACGGUAUCUAACCAGAAAGCCACGGCUAACUACGUGCCAGCAGCCGCGGUAAUACGUAGGUGGCAAGCGUUGUCCGGAUUUAUUGGGCGUAAAGCGAGCGCAGGCGGUUUCUUAAGUCUGAUGUGAAAGCCCCCGGCUCAACCGGGGAGGGUCAUUGGAAACUGGGAGACUUGAGUGCAGAAGAGGAGAGUGGAAUUCCAUGUGUAGCGGUGAAAUGCGUAGAUAUAUGGAGGAACACCAGUGGCGAAGGCGGCUC
This 630-nucleotide ribosomal RNA is filed under the name Enterococcus faecium. Its description in RNAcentral is "bacterial SSU rRNA". It matches the Rfam family "Bacterial small subunit ribosomal RNA", at positions 111 to 727 of the family's 1533-position model. Lineage: Bacteria; Bacillati; Bacillota; Bacilli; Lactobacillales; Enterococcaceae. The record is from RNAcentral.